AGGGGAAUAUUGCACAAUGGAGGGAACUCUGAUGCAGCGACGCCGCGUGAACGAAGAAGGCUUUCGAGUCGCAAAGUUCUUUUAUAUGGGAAGAUAAUGACGGUACCAUAAGAAAAAGCCCCGGCUAACUACGUGCCAGCAGCCGCGGUAAUACGUAGGGGGCUAGCGUUGUCCGGAAUCACUGGGCGUAAAGGGUUCGCAGGCGGAAAUGCAAGUCAGGUGUAAAAGGCAGUAGCUUAACUACUGUAAGCAUUUGAAACUGCAUAUCUUGAGAAGAGUAGAGGUAAGUGGAAUUUUUAGUGUAGCGGUGAAAUACGUAGAUAUUAAAAAGAAUACCGGUGGCGAAGGCGACUUACUGGGCUCAUUCUGACGCUGAGGAACGAAAGCGUGGGUAGCAAACAGG
RNAcentral lists this ribosomal RNA (403 nucleotides) under Fusobacteriota bacterium. Its description in RNAcentral is "Fusobacteria bacterium partial 16S ribosomal RNA". It matches the Rfam family "Bacterial small subunit ribosomal RNA", at positions 355 to 776 of the family's 1533-position model. The record is from RNAcentral. Lineage: Bacteria; Fusobacteriati; Fusobacteriota.